UUAUGUGUUUAAAUAAGAUGUAUAAAUAACUUUUAAUGAAAAAAAAACUUGUUAAAUAUUAAAAAAAAAAAUUAACAUUAUUUUUCAAUAGCUUAAACUUUUAGAGUACAAUGAUUGUUUCAUGUGGUAUUAGAAUAGGAGGUCCUGAGUUUGAGUCACGCCAGACUCUCUAAAAUUAUUAAUUUUCUCCCAUUUAAUUCAAGUUCACAUCAUAUGCCUUGCAAAAAGUCUCUAGUCUAGACUUGAAGGAAACUUAAGUUUUUAGAGUACAACAGUUAUUUUUCAAAAAUUAAUUAGAAAGCUCCCCGACGCAUCGUUAAGGAGUCUCCGACGCAUCGUUAAGGAGUCUCAGUUCGUCGUUACGUUUCACUUUUAUUUCUAUUCAAAUAUUAUAAUCCUUCAUUCUAUAGUUUUUUCUAAGUAUUGUAAAAUACCAAGGAACCAUUCCAUCCAACAUCUUUACACAUUCAAAUGAGAUUUAUUGCUUUUAUAAUCUCUGAAAUUAUUCACCUUUGAUUUGUGUGUUCAAGUGAAAUUUGUUGUUUAUAUUAUUUUUGCAAAUUAUCCAACUCUAUUUUCAAAUUAUACAAUUCUUUAGGACAAUUAAUUUAUUAUUAUUAAAGAAAAAGGCAAUUGUUUAUAUAUUUCUAAAAAAUUUCUGACUUUCUAAUUUACCACUCAGACUUUCUGAUUUAUCCCUCUUAGAAAGCUAAUAUUGAAAAUACUUUUUUUACAUUCCAAUCUAUUUCAAAUAUAUAUCUGUAGUUAAAAUAGCUAUUGGUAUUUCUAUAAAAUUACUAUUUUGCCUUUUCAAAUAUACUCUUCUAUCAUCACCGACUUUUCUUAUUUGCCUUAAGUUAAGACACAAAAAGUAUUUUAUUUUUUGGUCUUUUCAAAUAUACCCUUCUAUCAUCGUCAAUAUUUCUUAUUUGUCCUUAAGUUGGAAGACAAAGAGACAUUUUGAUUUUUUUAACUCUGAUAGAUAUUUAACUCAAGUUAACUUAAUAGAUAGUAACUGCAGGAUAUUUUGGAAUAACGGAGGAAUAUAUAAGAAGUAUAUUAAAAAAUAAAUAAAUAAAUAAAUAAAAUAUUUAGGCAAUUAUCCAUAAAAAAAAAAAACCCUCGUCAGUUU
Molecule: long non-coding RNA, 1132 nt
Filed under: Ananas comosus (pineapple)
Lineage: Eukaryota; Viridiplantae; Streptophyta; Magnoliopsida; Poales; Bromeliaceae
Description: long non-coding RNA (ACOM_LNC012499)
Source: RNAcentral